AGCACUUUAAGUUGGGAGGAAGGGCAGUAAGUUAAUACCUUGCUGUUUUGACGUUACCAACAGAAUAAGCACCGGCUAACUUCGUGCCAGCAGCCGCGGUAAUACGAAGGGGGCAAGCGUUAAUCGGAAUUACUGGGCGUAAAGCGCGCGUAGGUGGUUCGUUAAGUUGGAUGUGAAAGCCCCGGGCUCAACCUGGGAACUGCAUCCAAAACUGGCGAGCUAGAGUAUGGCAGAGGGUGGUGGAAUUUCCUGUGUAGCGGUGAAAUGCGUAGAUAUAGGAAGGAACACCAGUGGCGAAGGCGACCACCUGGGCUAAUACUGACACUGAGGUGCGAAAGCGUGGGGAGCAAACAGGAUUUAAAUACCCCUGGUAGUCCACGCCGUAAACGAUGUCGACUAGCCGUUGGGAUCCCUUGAGAUCUUAGUGGCGCAGCUAACGCAUUAAGUCGACCGCCUGGGGAGUUACGGCCGCAAGGUUAAAACUCAAAUGAAUUUGACGGGGGCCCGCACAAGCGGGUGGGAACAUGUGGUUUAAUUCCAAACCACCCCGAAAAACCUUUACCAGGCCUUGACAUGCAAAAAACUUUCCAGAAAAUGGAUUGGUGCCUUCCGGGAACUCUGACACAGGUGCUCCUGGGCUGUCGCCGCCUCGUGUCGUGAGAUGUUUGGGUUAAGUCCCGUAACGAGCGCAACCCUUG
This 698-nucleotide ribosomal RNA is filed under the name Stutzerimonas stutzeri. RNAcentral's name for it is "bacterial SSU rRNA". It matches the Rfam family "Bacterial small subunit ribosomal RNA", at positions 429 to 1107 of the family's 1533-position model. The record is from RNAcentral. Lineage: Bacteria; Pseudomonadati; Pseudomonadota; Gammaproteobacteria; Pseudomonadales; Pseudomonadaceae.